GAAGAGAGAGAACAAAGGAGACUUGAGAAAGAGAGGGAAAGAGAGGAGAAAGAAAGAGAGCAGAGGAGGCUUGAGAGAGAGAGAGACCGAGCAAGGGAGAUUGAGAGAGAGAGGGAAAAGGGUAGACAAGCAGUUGAAAGGGCUACUAGGGAGGCACGUGAAAGAGCAGCUGCCGAAGCACGCCUAAAAGCUGAAAGAGCUGCUGUAGAAAAAGCAGCUGCUGAAGCUCGAGAGAGAGCAGAAAGGGCUGCAGUUCAGAGAGCACAAGCUGAAGCCCGUGAAAGGGCUGCUGCAGAGGCAAGAGAAAGAGCAGAAAAAGCUGCUGCAGAAGCACGGGAAAGGGCAAAUGCAGAAGCAAGAGAGAGAGCUGCAGUUGCAAGGGCUGAAGCUGAUGCUAGACAGAGAGCUGAACGAGCUGCUGUUGAAAGAGCUGCUGCAGAGGCUCGAGAAAGGGCUGCUGCAGAUGCUCGAGAAAGGGCUGCUGCUGCAUCUAGAGCAAACCAACAAAAGACAGAUGCCCAACAGAGGAAUGACAAUGAUCUUGAAUCAUUCUUCAGUUCUCGAGCGAGCAGUGCGCCAAGGCCUAGGGCUACCUCUUCGGAUCCUUUCUUUGAUACCCAGAAUAAGGGAGGGUCUGAAGCUGCCAGAAGGACACCUGUUGGAGUUACGUCAAGCAUGAAGAAAGCAUCUUCAACUGCAAAUAUUGAAGAUGAUCUAUCUUUGAUUUUUGGAGGUAGUUACAUUUUCUUGAUUGGAGUGUUUGCUGAGGAUCAUGUAAUUCUUUAUUGGCUAAACUACUUUUGCUUGCAAAAGCUACUGGAACGUCGGGAGAGUUCCAACAGUUUGAAGGAGAAACUGAAGAGAGGCGAAGAGCUAGGUUGGAACGUCACCAGAGGACUCAGGAACGUGCGGCAAAAGCGCUGGCUGAGAAGAAUCAACGGGACCUUCAAGCUCAGAGGGAACAAGCAGAGAGACAUAGGAUUGCUGAAACACUUGAUGUUGAGAUCAAGCGUUGGGCUGCAGGGAAAGAGGGGAAUCUACGUGCUCUUCUAUCAACGUUGCAAUAUGUGCGUUCAUAUUUUUUAUAUAUUUCAUAUCAUCUGCUGCACAGUAUUAAUUUACAGAAUAUUUUCUUUAAUAAUCAAUUUUAGCUGUAUCCUUUUUUGCAAUGGAUCCUUGCAUGGUAUCUUGCACAUUGCAGUAUUUUACCUGUAUUUUAUCAUUUAGGGAUAUUUCUUUUGCACAGUUUUGAGAUAGGCAGACAUUUACUUUCUGAUAUGGCAUCACAGAGGAAUGAAGUUAAAUUUGUUUGUGUGUUUGCAUUGCCUUAUUUUUUAUUAAUGAUUUACUUAAUAGAGUAUGGUUGUGCAAUCCAAAUAUUGUGCAAUACUUAGCCAUGGAGUGUUUAGUUCCAUAACUAAGUUGUUCUUUUUGAAAUGCAAAAAUAUAAAAAUUAUAAUAAGGCCACUAAUUUUAUAAUCAUAGACCUGGAUUUGUUAUCGUGGAAACAUUUUAUUUUGCAGUUACUGUUAUUGUUUGAAGCAGUGUUUUGGGGAAACUAAAUUUUGAAGGGGCUUACCAUUUAAAACUUUCUCAUUAAAGAACCAGAUAUUAAUUUUAUUUCUGCUCCUUCUUUUUAUCUUCUACUUUAUAUGAAUGCUGCAAGUCCUGAGGUGUUUAUCCUGGCUGCUGCAUCUUUGAUUUAAGUAACUCUUUUAAUGUGAUUUCAAACUGCAUUUUUGCCAUCUUUUGGCAAUUGAGCUUCAUAUUGUCAUUAUCAUCAUCAUCAUCAUCCUGCAUAUGUUUGGGUAUUGUUAGAUUUCUUUCUAUCUCUCUGAGAGUAUGUGCGUGCAUGUGCUUUUCCUGCAAUCUGCAAAGCUUUGAACUUCCUGAGGAUGAGCAUUGAUAUGAAUGGUUAAUGGAUUACCCUCUGUUUGGGAGUGGGAGGAAGUGGAAGGGGAGAGAAAAUGGGGCUGUGGGGCCCAUAUAUUAGGAAUCAAAUUUGUUAACCCAUUUUCCACGCACUCCCAAAUAGAGCUAGUGUUUUCCCCCCUCGUAUUUUUGUUAAGUUAUACCUUUGGCCUUUGCCAAAUUUUCUUCCCUUUGACUAGCUAUAGGUAAUUAUAAAAAGUUCUGAUAUAAGUAUUUGUUGUAAAUUAUAUCAGCAUUUUCAACACACUGCCCCUAAAAUUUAUUGCACAAUGAUCAGGUGCUAUGGCCUGAAUGCGGUUGGCAGCCUGUUUCCUUGACCGAUUUGAUUACUGCUGCUGCUGUUAAGAAAGUUUAUAGAAAGGCAACUUUGUGCAUCCAUCCUGAUAAAGUCCAACAAAAGGGUGCCAAUCUUCAACAAAAAUAUAUUGCUGAGAAGGUGUUUGACUUGCUGAAGGAAGCAUGGAACAAGUUCAAUUCUGAAGAGCUAUUUUGAAUUUCUAUGGUGAUAUUUUGCUCCAAACCAUUUGAUUUGGCAAUUACACUAUUCAUUGGGAGUACAAAUGCACAACUGUUCAAGCAAAGAUGUAUUCUCGUAUCUGCUGCAGUUGGUGUUGCGUUGUAUCACUGAUAAAAGCGCCAAUUGGAGACUUUUCAUUUGGAACUGCUGAGAUGCCUGAAGGGUGAAGUAGUCUCCUGUUAUUCAGGUGGCUGUAAAGUGACGUUCCUCCAAGCAUAUUGGCACCUGAAAAAUUGGAAAUGCUUCGUGUAGAGUAUUGUCCUGCCUACCCCAUUUGCCUUUGCAUUAGAUGACGGGGUCCUUUUUUUGGGUUAAUUCUUUUCUAUAUAUAUAUAUAUAUAUGUUUUCUUUGGAUUUUUCGUUUUGGUGGCAGAACAUGAUAUUUUGAGUGGAUACAAAAUAUGUUACUGAUGUCCAAAUGACCAUACUUGGCGUUGUAUGAUGGUUGGGCUGUUAAACUCUGAGCCGUACGUUUCAUACAUAAAUAUAUUUUUUCUGUAAUGUCUUGUUGGUGUUUACUGCCACAAGCAAAAUUCAUGCAUAUAAAAUUUUUCUAUUAAGCUUAAUUUUGUACCUAUUUCAAUAAUGACCCAACUCAUUUUUUU
This 3054-nucleotide unclassified non-coding RNA is filed under the name Hevea brasiliensis (rubber tree). The record is from RNAcentral. Lineage: Eukaryota; Viridiplantae; Streptophyta; Magnoliopsida; Malpighiales; Euphorbiaceae.